Molecule: long non-coding RNA, 275 nt
Organism: Hemicordylus capensis (graceful crag lizard)
Lineage: Eukaryota; Metazoa; Chordata; Lepidosauria; Squamata; Cordylidae
Exons: 3
Source: RefSeq, a predicted model, not a curated record
UUUCGGCUCUCUUUGCAUCUGGCACAUUGUGAUGAUUUCAUGCCAGGCAUCCAUGAAGGGAGGAAGGGAAAAAACUUAUCCACAGCUGCAGACUAAAACCAGCACGGGGCACUGCCUGUUCAAAUGUCAAGCAGAUUCAGCAUGAUAGAGUUUGGCCAGCUCCCAUGACUCAUCAAGCUCCCUCAUUUUAAUGCAAAGUAGAGUUUAUAUUCAAUAUAUUUGAGAAGAAAAUUAAAUGUCAAUCUGGUUGCUGGCUGGUUGCAGAGGAUUAUAUG